Pipistrellus kuhlii (Kuhl's pipistrelle) is the source of this 1285-nucleotide RNA transcript. It is a transcript of the gene named F-box protein 17, with no coding region annotated. The record is from RefSeq and is a predicted model, not a curated record. NCBI's taxonomy places the organism in Eukaryota, Metazoa, Chordata, Mammalia, Chiroptera, Vespertilionidae. The transcript has 7 exons.
GCCUUUGGCCCUCCAGAGCAGGAUGGUAAGGACUAAGUGCCGGGUUUUCGCGGCCGUAGCUGUUCCCCUGUGGUCCAUUAAAGCUGCGGGAGGGGUGGGGUCACGAUCAAGCCGCAGGGACCAUGCGCACUGGGGGAAGUGGAAGAAGGCCAGACUUUCCUAACCUGCCCAUUCCUUUCAACCUGCAGGAUCCCAGCCGCCGGAGAUGGGCGCCCGGCCCUCGCGCAGGCGGACGCCGGCGGACCCGCCCUUAGCCCUGGACGCGCUGCCGCCGGAGCUGCUGGUGCAGGUGCUGAGCCACCUGCCGCCGCGCACGCUGGUGACGCGCUGCCGCGCCGUGUGCCGCGCGUGGCGCGCCGUGGUGGACGGGCCCUCGGUGUGGCUGCUGCAGCUGGCCCGCGACCGCAGCGCCGAGGGCCGCGCGCUCUACGCCGCCGCCCAGCGCUGCCCGCCCAGCGGCGAGGACGCGGAGGACCUGCCGCUGUGCGCCCUGGCGCGCUACUGCCUGCGGGCGCCGCUCCGCCGGAACCUCAUCUUCAACUCCUGCGGAGAGCAGGGCUUCAGAGGCUGGGAGGUGGAACACGGCGGGAACGGCUGGGCCAUAGAAAAGAACCUGACCCUGGUGCCGGGCGCUCCUUCCCAGACCUGUUUCGUGACUUCUUUCGAGAGCUUCCCAUUCACUGACCCAACAGGAAAGAGAGGAUGGUGCUUCAAGAGGCAGCUUGUGGACUUGGUGAUGGAGGGGGUGUGGCAGGAGCUGCUGGACAGCGCCCAGAUUGAGAUCUGUGUGGCUGACUGGUGGGGCGCCCGAGAGAACUGCGGCUGCAUCUACCGGCUCCGGGUCCGCCUCCUGGACGUGUACGAAAAUGAAGUGGUCAAGUUCUCGGCCUCACCCAACCCGGUCCUGCAGUGGACUGAGAGAGGCUACCGACAGCAGUGAGAAAAUUAAGGUGCAGGCCGUCAAGUGACUAGCCCAAAAUCAGACUAAGGUGUGCAGGGUCUGAUUCAAGCCCAGAAUGACACCCAAGCCCAUGCUGUCAAAAUCAUCACAUCUCAGUUAUCAAAGUAGACUUUCAGGUGGUCAUUUCCACUCCUGAUCUCCCACCACCGAACAGACUCACCAUCCAGAAAGAUCCCAAUACGAAGUCUCCCACGUCUUCACCAACUUUGGCAAAGGCAUCCGAUACGUGUCUUUUGAGCAGUACGGGAGAGACACACGCUCCUGGGUGGGACACUAUGGUGCCCUCGUGACCCACUCCACCGUGAGAGUCAGGAUCCACUUGUC